This 2359-nucleotide long non-coding RNA is filed under the name Homo sapiens (human). RNAcentral describes it as "non-protein coding lnc-TLK1-2:2". The record is from RNAcentral. Lineage: Eukaryota; Metazoa; Chordata; Mammalia; Primates; Hominidae.
UAAUGAUGAGGGAUAGGUAGAAAAGAUGGGAAGGGGGUCAGCUUGUAGAUAACCUAGACUAGCAGGUGUAUGACUUCUAGUCUCUGAACUGGAGCCAUCUGAGAUCAGUUUGAGAUAUGGUGUCUUAUAAAUGUAUUGAGAGAGGUUGAGGAGUUGUCUAUAGAAUGGAAUGGAGUGAGGUCAGAGAUCAGUGGCAAGGAAGACCACAUAAAGGUUUUUGCACAAACUUGCCUUGAUGGCAAGUCCUCAAAAGUACAAUUAUCAAGCUUUCUGUUUAAACAUGCAUAAGUCAGUAAAUAUAAACAUUAAAAUUUGCCCAAGACUCUUAACUCAGUUGUAUUUCAUAAUUAAAGUGUACAUUAAAAAGCCAAACUAGUCAUGAAAGUAUUACAUACAGCAAGGGCAGUUUAGAUAAGUUAAUGUUGCUAUGGGAACCCCAGCAGAUCUCCUUGUGUCUCCGUUUAAAAAUCAUGGCCCAAGGUGGUUUCAAAAACAACAGAAGGUAAAAUUAUUCUCACAUUCUCACACAUGUAAAUUGUACUGUCUCUCUCAGUUCUAAAUAGCGGAUUCAAGCCAGCCUCUUGACUGGCACAGUAAAAUUCGGCUUCGUGUCUUUCUAUAAUGUAUUACAGCAUGUGAGUUAACCUUUAGAAGCUUCAAAAAUACAUCAACCAAAUUUGGACUGUGAGACACAAACUGGUCUCUUUUGGGCUCUGUCCAGCAUAGCCUUCCUAUUCCACAUGGCUGCGCAGCAGGGCCAUUUCCACCAGUGUCUUCUGCUUGCCUGGUCAGUCUUUCUGUCUCUUAACCUACCUACAACAACUUCCUUCUCGGGGUUUGCUGCUAGAUAGAAAUGUAGAUUUUGGCACAGAAAGAAAAGGGAAAGACCUAUUUGGAAUUUUGUCUAUAGAUGUUAAGAAAUCAUGAAGCGUUGCAAAUGUAACUGCUUGGGUAUUAGUUUAAAAUAUUUGAUAACUGCAUGAAAUUCUAAUUUACCCCUCACAUCCAUAAAGCUAGGACCAGUUGGUUAGGCAGAGUUUGAUAUUUAAAAAUUCAUCUUCUGAGAGAGCUGAAUUUCAAAAGGACCAUUUUCUUUCCAGGAGUAAAAGGUAUAUUCUUUCAUCUUCUUACAGUACAGAAACAAUGGAAUAUAUUGUUUAAAUGCACCCUUCAUUUUUUUCUCCAUUUCUAAAAAUUCACUUUUGAGCAUCGUCCAAAUGUAAAAAUUCUCACACAUGAGGAACUGUUUCCGAAGGUUGUGAGAAAGUCAAGAUAACAGUUUCUAUUAUUAAAAGUUUUGCAUUCGGUAUGACACAUUUGCCUGUAUUGAAACACCCAUUUAACAUUGACUUCUGAGAACUUAUUUGCUUUGCCUCUCUCGAUUCCAUAUGCUUUGUCUACAAAUUGUGAACACGUCCCGGUUUCUACCCGUGUGUGAUUCUAAGUCGUUGCUGUACUCUAGCUUGUACGUGAAAAUUCACCCAUAUGCAGAUAGCUGCCCUCUUGGAGGCAAAACUUAAAGCUAUCAGAACCAUCUGGAUUGUUAAACCCCAAAACUUCCAACUCAUCAAAGUCCUGAAGCCUGAAUAGAUCACACAUUGUUACUUCUAAUUGGUUUUGAUGUUUGUUAUGCUCCUCACAAGUGCAGAUAACUUCACAUUUGCAUCACUAAUCGACCUCUUUCAAAGCCUCUGCUCCUCCUGCUUCCUGCCUCUGUUAGUCAUCAGGAGACUUAGUGUUGGCGUGGGUAUUUUCCCCGCUUGUGAAAGUGCAUUGUCAAUUCUAGAGCAUUAAAUAUAUGUGAGGUAUUGUUAUUAAUCUACAAGGCAGUACACACAGUAUUCCAGCAACAGUGACUUUUUCAAAGGUUUUAUGAGACAUUGUAAGAAAGACAGUAUCUUUCCAUGGAAAAAAGUGUUGCCUCAGAGUCAAACAGGAAGCAUGGGUCCUAGUUCCUAUUGAACUGCUUAGCUACUCUUAAUUUAGCUCUGAAUGCUAGAUUUUGUGUAUACUAUACACAUUAUUUAAUCCUCAAACUCCUAGGAAUUCAUUUUGAUGAUAACCAUUUACAGAAGAGAUGUUGGGUAACUUGCUCAGGAUACCACAUCUAGUAAGUAGCAGAGUCACAACUCGGACCCAGAACUCUCUGAUUCCAAAACCUCUACUUGCUGCUCUUGUAAUGGAUGGGCCCAAAUGCUGCUGGGAAAGGCACCAGGGAAGAAAGAGCUUUCUGAGUCAAGCAGAAAACGAUAGCAGUGGAGAGGAGUUUGUUUCAGACGACCUUCAAGGUUAUGGCUCAUUCUAGAUCCAAUCAUUCUAGCAAAUAAGUAGGUUACACUUGUCCACAAUUACAAAUUGG